GGGACCCACUAGGCUCAUUGCAUUAGGCAAGCAGGUGCCUCAUUAUUACAAGCCACAAAAAUACUUCCUCCUAAUUGUUUGACAACUAGGUCCCACGCCAUUGUCGAUGUGGUCAAUAAACGAGAAAAUUACACAACGAGCGGAUAACACCAAGGACCCAGCAGCUCACCCAGUUGCUUUUUAGUAUCAGAGACGGAGCUCAACUGCGUGUUCUCCGGGGGCUGUGGCCCGUCUAGCCCACGCUUAAGCUUUUAUUUAAGCACAUGACGAGCCCAAUUGAUAUCUUUUUUGUUUCUGAAAAAGGCUAGCCCAGUUCUUUUUUUUGGAGAAUACCAAAACCGAGGCCUACUUGCUUUUCUCAGCCCUGCUUGGCUGCAAAUCUGUCAAGACGAGGAGGGAUGUAAGUAGUAAGAAAUAGGCUUCCCUAAAAAAUGGGCUAUAAGUUGUAAGAAAUGGGCUGUAAAUUUUUAAACCAAAGCCAACCGGCAAUUACAUUAAAAUAUCUUUUUUCUGGAUUCCUCUACUCUCUACUCUUAUAAAAACCAAAGCCAACUGGCAAUUACACUAAAAUAUCAUCUUUUCUCCCACAAGAUAAACUACUCAUACAAAUGCAUCUUCAUGUUCCGUGCAACGCACGGGCAUCUUGCUAGUUAAGAUUUUAAAUUUCAUUAAUUUUUUGCGGAGAAUUGUUUUUUGAAUUUUAUUUUUAUAUAAUUUUUAAAAAAUAUUUUUAAUGUGACUCGAAAUUUCGUGAUUAAAAGAGUUCGGACCCCACCGAAAUAAGCAAAUUUUCGUUGAAUUUUUUUGUAGUGCCCAGAAUAUAUGGUUUGUAAUGCUAAUAAAAAGAAUGUGGGCUUCAAAUAUCCUUAAGAAUUAGCAAAGGGACUGUAAAUUAUUGAAAAUAAUGGAAAAUGGGUUGUAUGCUGUUUUCCACAGAUUUGGAGGCUGACUUCUGGGCCUACUAGGUUGACGAUGACGCUGUCCUAAUUUUUUUUGACGCGUACGCAAGGCUUUGUCAACUUAGUCAACCCAAAGCAGUGACUGUUGGAUGUCCAUCCAACGGCCGCCGUGCUUCUUCAUUCUCUGAUCUUCCUGCUCCAGUCGCCCAAACCAGCACCGGCGGGACUGCCUGCUCCCUCCUCCCAUGGCUGGCUGUGCUGCCGCCAGGCCAUCCCUCCACCCACCCGCACAUCCUGUUAUUUUCCGGCGAUGUCAGCCUCACCCCGCAGCCGACCAGUCAGCGCUCGUACUCCCCUUAGUGUGGGCAUCCGCUGUGGUGGCUUCGCCGGCUCCAGGUCGUUCCCUUCCUGGGCCUCGCCCUCGUCCACCGCGUUUGUGCUCUUGACGCGACGAGGUCAACAUGGUCAACAUACAACAGCCAUCGGAAGAGGCUGACAGUAGGGGCCCACAUAAGGAAAUGCCUCCUUAUUACGCGCAAAAUAAUGAUUCCUCCACCUGACAGGCGGGACCCACUGGAAGGGCCUCUGUAUUUCGUGAAAAAACGUUCCCUCCGCUGACAGGUCAGACCCACCAGCUAUAUCUUCGCACGCAAGGAAGUGCCUCCUUAUUACGCACAAAAAAAAUGAAUACUCCCCCUGCUAGCUGGACCCACCAUAGUGGGAGGCUGACUUGUGGGCCUACUAAGAUGACGGGGGCGGAGGGCUUUGUUAACUUAGUCAAUAUGAACGAUUCUAGCUCCAGUGACCGUACGAUGUCCAUCCAACGGCCAUAGUGCUUCUUCAACCUCUGGUCUUCUUGCUCCAGCCGCCCAAACAAGCAUCGGCCGUGUGCCUCCCGUGUCCGGCUGUGCUGCCACCGCUGGCCAUGUCAUCCCUCUAUACUCACCCACACCUCCUGUUAUUCUCCGGCAAUAGAAGCCUCACACCGCAGCCGAAGCAGUCAACCCACGUACUCCCCUCCGCGUGGGCAUCCACUGUCGCCUCUUCCCCAGCUCCGUGUCAUCCCCUUCCUAGACCUCACCGUCGUCCACCACCAUGGUGCUCUCGGCGCGGCGUGGUCAACAUGGUGAAGGUACGACUUCCGUUGAAAGAGUACUGUAUGUGAAGAGGCUGACAGCUCGGUCCACGACAGCAGCAAGGAAGUGCCUCCUUAUUACGCGAAAAAUAAUUAUUCCUCCACCUGAUAGCAGGGACCCACCGCACGGGCCACCGUAUUUCGCGAAAAAACAUUUCCCCCCUAACUGCUGGGACCCACCAGCUAUAUCUUCGCACGCAAGGAAGUGUGUCCAUAUUACGGGUAAAAAAAUUGUUUCCCCUCUGACUGCUGGGACUCACCAGCUACAUCUUCGCACAGAAGGAAGUUCCUGACAGUCAGGACCCACCUGGUCGAAGCGUACGUAGCGUUGUCAUUCUGGUCGCGAACGUGUAGUACAUACUGGUCGAUCGGUCUUUCUGCAAGUAUGAACCGUGGCCGAGUAAGUAGCGACACGUGUGUCAUUGUAGAGCACCCGACAUAGUAGUUCACGUAGUCCCGUCCAAGUCUUGUACAUGUACGUACAGCCACAGGGCAAAAAAUACGGCCACAUACGUGCAUACGGGCGGGUCUCGAGCGCGUACUCGCGGACGGCCAGGGCUUGUUUCCAUGGAGAAGCAACGGACUGGAGCAACGGUGUCCUGUUCAUCGGGCAGCGAACUGACUGGGUCGGAACGGAGAAACAACAUCGUGUUCAUCUGGAGGCAACGGAACGCGUGCUGUUCAUCGGGAGCCAACCGGCUUGGACGAAACAUCUGAUGGAAACGAGGCCUGGCGUACCGCAGAACGAAGGAAACGGCCUUGUGUUCGAUCGGCCACGGUCAAAACGGGAUCAUGUUCAUCGGGAGGGGUCUGGCGUACUGCAAAACGGAGGAAUCGACUUCUCUUGGACCUCCUACGGUCGAAACAGAGUCAUGUUGAUUAGGAGGGGUGUGGCGUACCGCAAAACGGAGGAAACAGACUUGUGUUGGAGCGCUACGGUCGUAACGGGGGUCCUUUUCAUCGAGAGGGGUGUGGCGUACCGCAAAACGGGACUCCACAGGAUACUGUUCAUCUCCACCGUCUACCUCAUCUAGCCUCCAUGGGCUACUGUUCAUCCACCGUCGACCUCCUCCAGCCUCCACCUGCGACUGUUCAUCCACGGGCUCCUGUUCAUCUAGCCUCCACCACACGCUCCUCCACCGGCUACUGUUCAACCAACCCUCUCCACGGGGUCCUGUUCAACCACCCCUCCAUGGGCAACUAUUCAUCCAGCCCUCCACUGACUAUUGUUCAAUCAGCCCUCCACGGGGGCCUGUUCAUCCAGCCCUCCAUGGGGUCCUGUUCAUCCACCCCUCCACGGGGUCAUGUUCAUCCACCGGCUCGAUUGAUUGGGGUACUGUUCAUCCAGCAGCAAUGGCCUCUACUACCACGGGCUCUUGUUCAUCCAACCCCCCACCGAGAACUGUUCAUCCAAACCCCCCAACAACGCUCACUGUUCAUCCAGAGGAAGCAUCGAUCGGCUUCAGUUAGCAGUAGUAGCGAAGGAAUCACCCAGGCUCACUUAACAGCAAGGGAUUGAUCGAUCGCUCGGGUUCAGUAACGCGUAGCUUGCGGUGCAAUCACUCGGGUUCAGUUAGAUCCCAACGCCUCGCUCGGGUUCAGUUAGAGCGCAACGCCUCGCACACACGCGUGUACGUAUGAGAGAAACGUGCAUCGAUCGCUCAGCCCCCGACCACCCACCGUAACCAGGAACUCCCCGAUAUUUUCCUCGCCUUUGCUUCUACCACGGCUUUCCCGUCAUGGACGGCCCAAAGAAUGUCAUGCAGCUGCGUCUCCAGCCCGCCCAGGAUGAAAAGCCCAUUUUCUAUCAUGAUUUUUCUGUCAUAGAAGUAGGACCCCACCACAUCUAUGAUGAUACCGAGUUUUGUCACAAUUAUCGUCAUAGAAGUGUCAUAAGCAUGACAGGAAAAAAAUUUGUUCGGCCCAAAAUGUCACGGAUGUGUCUUUUUUUGUAGUGGGAGUACCAUGAACUUCCUAGCAUAUCAAAAAUGUAUGAGUUUUUUUGUUGUGCAACCAACUUAAGGUAGGGGCGUGAUGAUUAUAGGGAAUAGCAUGAAGCUUCUAGUAUAAAUAUUCGUCAAUUCUCUACUACAGGAACACUUCAAAUUCAGUGUAUCACAAAAAAAUCUUGGAAAGCAACUAGUUGCAAGAAGAAAGUUGUGAGGCUCACUCGAAAGGGAUUAACAGAUUAUACAUUGCUCUUCUCUAAAAAUCGAAAGAACCAUGAGCAUGCAUGGAACGUGUUUGACCGUGGGAAACAACAUUAGAAGACGCGAUUACGAACUAAUUACCCCGGUCAGGAUUUCAUAUGCAUGUUCAAAACAAACGCAACCAAAUGCGGUACUACCUAACGAGGUCUUGUUUACUUGUUUUUUCUCUUUCCGAGAAAUGGCAACAUGAUUACUACUAGGAUAAAUUAACUAAGGCACGUACAGAUCCUACUCGGCCAUCUAUAUACAUAGUAUUUUUCAAGACAGUAGUCCAGAUCUAGCAUUAGCAGCAACCAACUAAUCAUACUAGGAGGGAUGGAGGAAUUUGAUUGGAAGAAUGGAUGAGAACUACACGGAGGGCCAGUUGUACAGGAGUUCUAACCUAAGCCAGCCAACGUAGGACACACCAUUUCCCAUUAAAUCGGUGCUGCUCUUGCGCUGUUCUAGCCACUGAAUAAUUCUCUUCUCUGGGAGGGACGAAGAGGCUUUGAGGGCAGAAACUACAUAGCAAGAUGAAAGAGGGAAGUGAGCGAAC
This 4779-nucleotide long non-coding RNA is filed under the name Triticum aestivum (bread wheat). Its description in RNAcentral is "long non-coding RNA (TAES_LNC001433)". Lineage: Eukaryota; Viridiplantae; Streptophyta; Magnoliopsida; Poales; Poaceae. The record is from RNAcentral.